This 301-nucleotide ribosomal RNA is filed under the name uncultured bacterium. RNAcentral describes it as "partial 16S ribosomal RNA". It matches the Rfam family "Bacterial small subunit ribosomal RNA", at positions 509 to 809 of the family's 1533-position model. The record is from RNAcentral.
CAGUAGCCACGGUAAUACGGAGGGUGCAAGCGUUAAUCGGAAUUACUGGGCGUAAAGCGCACGCAGGCGGUCUGUCAAGUCGGAUGUGAAAUCCCCGGGCUCAACCUGGGAACUGCAUUCGAAACUGGCAGGCUAGAGUCUUGUAGAGGGGGGUAGAAUUCCAGGUGUAGCGGUGAAAUGCGUAGAGAUCUGGAGGAAUACCGGUGGCGAAGGCGGCCCCCUGGACAAAGACUGACGCUCAGGUGCGAAAGCGUGGGGAGCAAACAGGAUUAGAUACCCCAGUAGUCCCUGUCUCUUAUAA